GAAAUGCGAUAAGUAAUGUGAAUUGCAGAAUUCCGUGAAUCAUCGAAUCUUUGAACGCAGAUUGCGCCCUCUGGUAUUCCGGGGGGCAUGCCUGUCCGAGCGUCAUUGCGAACCCCUCAAGCACGGCUUGUGUGAUGGGCCCUCCCGCGUCUUGGUCGUCAAGACGGGCCCGAAAUGCAGUGGCGGCUUCGCGGUUAUCCGAUCAGCCAGAGCGUAUGGGGACUUUCUCUCUGUCACACGCCCGCGGCGCGGACCGACGCCUGUCGACCUUCAUUCAUCGUUUUCUCGGUUGACCUCGGAUCAGGUAGGGAUACCCGCUGAACUUAAGC
RNAcentral lists this unclassified non-coding RNA (329 nucleotides) under plant metagenome. RNAcentral describes it as "partial contains 5.8S ribosomal RNA, internal transcribed spacer 2, and large subunit ribosomal RNA". The stretch from base 1 to 105 matches the Rfam family "5.8S ribosomal RNA", at positions 50 to 154 of the family's 154-position model. The record is from RNAcentral.